Molecule: ribosomal RNA, 465 nt
Filed under: Vreelandella stevensii
Lineage: Bacteria; Pseudomonadati; Pseudomonadota; Gammaproteobacteria; Oceanospirillales; Halomonadaceae
Description: partial 16S ribosomal RNA
Rfam family: Bacterial small subunit ribosomal RNA
Source: RNAcentral
CCUACGGGCGGCAGCAGUGGGGAAUAUUGGACAAUGGGGGGAACCCUGAUCCAGCCAUGCCGCGUGUGUGAAGAAGGCCCUCGGGUUGUAAAGCACUUUCAGUGAGGAAGAACGCCUGGUGGUUAAUACCCAUCAGGAAAGACAUCACUCACAGAAGAAGCACCGGCUAACUCCGUGCCAGCAGCCGCGGUAAUACGGAGGGUGCGAGCGUUAAUCGGAAUUACUGGGCGUAAAGCGCGCGUAGGUGGCUUGAUAAGCCGGUUGUGAAAGCCCCGGGCUCAACCUGGGAACGGCAUCCGGAACUGUCAAGCUAGAGUGCAGGAGAGGAAGGUAGAAUUCCCGGUGUAGCGGUGAAAUGCGUAGAGAUCGGGAGGAAUACCAGUGGCGAAGGCGGCCUUCUGGACUGACACUGACACUGAGGUGCGAAAGCGUGGGUAGCAAACAGGAUUAGAUACCCGGGUAGGC